AUCCCGUGAUAAGGGCACUUCCAUAAUAAUUCUUUGUACCUUUCCCAUGCCUUAUACAAGGACUCAUCAUCCAUUUGUUUGAAAGCAAUGAUCUCGUUCCUCAACUU
Molecule: non-coding RNA, 107 nt
Organism: Gossypium raimondii (Peruvian cotton)
Lineage: Eukaryota; Viridiplantae; Streptophyta; Magnoliopsida; Malvales; Malvaceae
Source: Rfam